This is a long non-coding RNA of Erigeron canadensis, 391 nucleotides long. RefSeq lists it as uncharacterized. The record is from RefSeq and is a predicted model, not a curated record. The transcript is spliced from 3 exons. Lineage: Eukaryota; Viridiplantae; Streptophyta; Magnoliopsida; Asterales; Asteraceae.
UUGACUCAGUUUUUCUUUUGUAGUAUUACUAGCGCCUCAAAGACAAUGGUUGAAAAGAGGGGAGCCUUCAAUUGAAGGUUUGUUUAGGCUGAAUACGGGCUGUCGACAAGAAAGCCAAGUGAUCAUAACACGUAUGCAGCUAUUGAGGCUACAUACAAGUAUUUGAGGAGACUUACAACACAAAGUAAGAGGAUAACAUUGCAGCAGUGAUCAAAGUUAGAUUUGAUAAAUUUUUGAUAAUAUGAAAUGGUGACUGUAAAUGAUAAUUAUGUUUAUGGGCUUAUGCAUUUGAUAAUUUAUUUGGAUUUCAAUAAUUGUAGAAUGUGGAUAAAUGAUAUGGGUGCUUUUAGGUGGGGAACUAAUAUGUACACCCCUAGAUUUUGACAAUACU